This 703-nucleotide long non-coding RNA is filed under the name Gallus gallus (chicken). Its description in RNAcentral is "long non-coding RNA NONGGAT009188". Lineage: Eukaryota; Metazoa; Chordata; Aves; Galliformes; Phasianidae. The record is from RNAcentral.
CUGCUUCCUGCUGUUGUUACCCAGACUCCUGUGCUGGGAGAUGGCAAAGUUGACAUAAAUCACAUUACCUGUGAUUUUUCAAAUGGAAUGUAUAGAGUUGUAAUCAGACAUUCAAGUCAAGGAAAAAUCUGAUCAUGUCUCCUCCAGACCUGGAGAUCUCUCCACGAAGGUGUUUUGAGGAGUGUGGCACUCCGGCUCCUGUUCACUGCUGGUGAAAAUGCAUGGCUGAUGGUGAUGACUAUGAUGAGAAAUAGUGUUUUGUAGCUGAGAAUUUGCUCUGUCAAAUAGUGUUACUGUGCUCCUUGUAGCUGUUGUAGUUUCCAUCGAAACAAAUAGGAGAUGUUACUUGUGGUGCAACCUAUGUAUAUGCAGCUUGAGACAAUUCCUCUUCACUCAGUGCAGCCCACGCAAGCCAAAAGAUUGGACAUUUGUGGACUAAGGUACAGAAUGAGCUGCCAGAAGUGCUCACCAAGCCACUGUCAAUAAUUUACCAGCAGUCCUGGCCAACUGGAGAGAUGGCAGUUGACUGGAGGUUAGCUAAUGCAGAGCCCAUCCACAAGAGCAGGCAGAAGGAUCAGGGGAACCAAAGGCCAGUCAGACUGAAUGUGAGCCAGCAUCCUGGUGAUAGCUGCAGGCAAUGAGAUUUUACAGCGUGGCGGAAACUACCACUGUACUGGCAAAUCCUUUUACACAGAUGUAUUAG